GCUUGCUAAGUACAGAUGACGAGUGGCGGACGGGUGAGUAAUGCUUGGGAACUUGCCUUUGCGAGGGGGAUAACAGUUGGAAACGACUGCUAAUACCGCAUAAUGUCUUCGGACCAAACGGGGCUUCGGCUCCGGCGCAAAGAGAGGCCCAAGUGAGAUUAGCUAGUUGGUAAGGUAACGGCUUACCAAGGCGACGAUCUCUAGCUGUUCUGAGAGGAAGAUCAGCCACACUGGGACUGAGACACGGCCCAGACUCCUACGGGAGGCAGCAGUGGGGAAUAUUGCACAAUGGGGGAAACCCUGAUGCAGCCAUGCCGCGUGUGUGAAGAAGGCCUUCGGGUUGUAAAGCACUUUCAGUUGUGAGGAAAAGUUAGUAGUUAAUACCUGCUAGCCGUGACGUUAACAACAGAAGAAGCACCGGCUAACUCCGU
RNAcentral lists this ribosomal RNA (431 nucleotides) under Alteromonas simiduii. RNAcentral describes it as "bacterial SSU rRNA". It matches the Rfam family "Bacterial small subunit ribosomal RNA", at positions 78 to 506 of the family's 1533-position model. The record is from RNAcentral. Lineage: Bacteria; Pseudomonadati; Pseudomonadota; Gammaproteobacteria; Alteromonadales; Alteromonadaceae.